UUAACGCUAGCGGCAGUCCUAAUAGAUGCAAGUCGAACGGUAACAGGUGUAGCAAUACAUGCUGACGAGUGGCGCACGGAUGCGUAACGCGUAUGCAACCUACCUAUAACUGGGGAAUAGCCUUCUGAAAGGAAGAUUAACACCGCAUAACAUCACGAAACGGCAUCGUUUUGUGAUCAAAUCUCCGGAGGUUAUAGAUGGGCAUGCGUGACAUUAGCUAGUUGGUGAGGUAACGGCUCACCAAGGCUACGAUGUCUAGGGGGUCUGAGAGGAUGAUCCCCCACACUGGUACUGAGACACGGACCAGACUCCUACGGGAGGCAGCAGUAAGGAAUAUUGGACAAUGGGCGCAAGCCUGAUCCAGCCAUGCCGCGUGAAGGAUGACGGCCCUCUGGGUUGUAAACUUCUUUUAUAUGGGAAUAAACCCCUGGUUUCUACCGGGGCUGAAUGUACCGUAAGAAUAAGGAUCGGCUAACUUCGUGCCAGCAGCCGCGGUAAUACGAAGGAUCCAAGCGUUAUCCGGAUUUAUUGGGUUUAAAGGGUGCGUAGGCGGACUAUUAAGUCAGUGGUGAAGGCCUGCAGCUUAACUGCAGAACUGCCAUUGAUACUGAUGGUCUUGAGUACAUUUGAGGUGGGCGGAAUGUGUCAUGUAGUGGUGAAAUACUUAGAUAUGACACAGAACUCCGAUUGCGAAGGCAGCUCACUAAACUGUAACUGACGCUGAGGCACGAAAGCGUGGGGAUCAAACAGGAUUAGAUACCUUGGUAGUCCACGCCCUAAACGAUGAUUACUCGAUGUGUGCGAUACACUGUACGCGUCUGAGCGAAAGCAUUAAGUAAUCCACCUGGGG
RNAcentral lists this ribosomal RNA (850 nucleotides) under uncultured bacterium. RNAcentral's name for it is "bacterial SSU rRNA". It matches the Rfam family "Bacterial small subunit ribosomal RNA", at positions 30 to 878 of the family's 1533-position model. The record is from RNAcentral.